GCUACAUUUUACCUGUGGGGUUUUUAACCAAACAUCACUGGUAAACAAAUUCUCAAUGAGAAAUAACUUCUUUCUCUGCUUUUGUAUAUGUGCAUUUUAGCAUGUGUACAGGAAAGAACCCAAGAAGAUGUUCAUUUUGCUGCAUGAUCAGAAUGGAUUUCCAGGAGGGAUGCUGAUCCCUGUACAAGCCCUUCAGGUUGUCCUUCAAAAUGUCAACUGUUAGUUAUUCCAACCAAAUGUAUAGUUAAAAGCAGACCAACUAGCAAAGUUGCUGGAAUAGUAGGAAGCGGUAUAGCCCAGUUUCCCCAACAACUACUACCACAAAGAUCUGAAAAGACCGCCAGACUAAAGAGCCAUCAGGAAAUCAAAGGGGAUCAUAAUUUCAGCCAAUGAUGAGCAUGAAUUUGUCCACAGAUUUCAAUUUUUAAGUCAGCGAAAGAAAAGAAAAAACAAAAACAAAAACCUUGUACCAAUUGCUGACAAGGACCUUGGAGUAAGAAGAAUGAGGAAAUCUCAGAAUUUCAGAAUCCCAGAGUAAGAGGGAACUUCCAGCAUUAUCUGGGCUGGACUUUGUUAACUUGGAGUCUUUGAAUUGAUACCUGCAUUUCAUUAUAAUUGAAUUUAUAAUCCUAUGGCUUGUGUCUUACAUAUUUAAAAAUGUUCUUU
Long non-coding RNA from Antechinus flavipes (yellow-footed antechinus), 666 nucleotides. RefSeq lists it as uncharacterized. NCBI's taxonomy places the organism in Eukaryota, Metazoa, Chordata, Mammalia, Dasyuromorphia, Dasyuridae. The record is from RefSeq and is a predicted model, not a curated record. The transcript has 3 exons.